This 776-nucleotide ribosomal RNA is filed under the name uncultured Neocallimastigales. Its description in RNAcentral is "partial large subunit ribosomal RNA". It matches the Rfam family "Eukaryotic large subunit ribosomal RNA", at positions 26 to 635 of the family's 3401-position model. Lineage: Eukaryota; Fungi; Neocallimastigomycota; Neocallimastigomycetes; Neocallimastigales. The record is from RNAcentral.
CGUCUAUAUACGUAUAGCAUAUCAAUAAGCGGAGGAAAAGAAACUAACUAGGAUUCCCUCAGUAACGGCGAGUGAAGCGGGAAGAGCUCAAAUUUGAAAUCUUCAAGGUUCUACCUUGACGAAUUGUAGUUUAAAGAAGUGUUUUCUGUUGGAGUUUUGGUAAAAGUUCUUUGGAAUAGGACAUCAUAGAGGGUGAGAAUCCCGUAUUUGACCAUUAUUUCCAACUUUGUGAUACACUUUCAAAGAGUCGGAUUGUUUGGGAAUGCAGUCCAAAAUGGGUGGUAAAUUUCAUCUAAAGCUAAAUACUGGCGAGAGACCGAUAGCGAACAAGUACCGUGAGGGAAAGAUGAAAAGAACUUUGAAAAGAGAGUUAAACAGUACGUGAAAUUGUUAAAAGGGAAGCGUUUGACACCAGUGUUGUUUUCUCGAAAAUCAAUUAAAAAUGACCUGGAUUUUGUGUUGUAUUGACUUUAUCAGCUUUCUGCACUCUUUUCUUGUCUUUUUUAAUGCACUUUUCGUUUAACAAGUCAACAUCAAUUUCUUUUGUUGUAAAAGGGUCAUUGGAAGGUGGCUUUCCUUUCGGAUGAAAGUGUUUAUAGCCUUUGACUUCUGCAAUCGGAGAGAUUGAGGUCUGCAGCGUAGAUCCUUCGGGGUUAGAUACAUUUGUGCUAAGUUAUAGCCUUUCAUAGACAACUUGUUGACUAUGAUCAGUCAUGUAGCUUACUCGCUUAUGUCAUUUUACCUACGCUUAGGAUGUUGACGAUCAGCUGAGCGCG